UACAAAUGUAACUGGUAUAACAUUAUAAAUAUGUAUAUAAAUAUAGUACACAGACAUGACAACAGUUAAAUAAAUAGAUAUCACAGUGUUACAACCAUACAUGUACAACAUAUUAUUAAAGUGUACUAUUGUGAGAAAACUUGAUGAGCACAUGUGGUUAAACCCAUAUUAUCACAGACAAAUGAAAGAUCUACUUAAAGAGGCUCGCGGGUAUAAGAUUUUCAAAAAAAAAUCAAACAUUUAUUUUUCAUUACAAAUUUUAUUUAUUACCUUAAGUAGUUGUUACUUUAUCAUAUGGUACAAAAACUAUUCCAAAAAGGUCAAUUCGUGUUGGCCCCAGGUGACUUUUAAAUUGUAGAUAUCAUUGAAACAGCUCCAAAUUAUCUCCCUUUGGUCCAGAAAUGACAUUUUUUGGCAUUAGAAUUAAAAUAUCUUUUUUAACUCAUUGGUGACCUUUAUUUUUUAUUGUUGUUUUUGAAUAAGCUGUAAAUAAACUAAAUAAUUGUAAAAUUUAAGCGAUUUCUGUAAUUUAGUUCUUUUUUUAUUCAUUGUUAUUUCAAUAUUACCGCUAUUUCUCUUCUUUCGAAGGUAGGUUGUGAGCAUAAAUGAUCGGUGACCCCAUGUUUUUAUUUCAUUUUUCUAUUAAGUUUAAGAUAAAGUUAAUUUAUAGAAAAAUAUAACGAAAUCCUAUAUUAAAUUAAAAAAAAAAUGAUUUAGACCUGCAAGCCCCCUUAAAUGUAGAUAAAUUCAAUUCAUUAUUUAAAACACACAUUU
RNAcentral lists this long non-coding RNA (774 nucleotides) under Mytilus galloprovincialis (Mediterranean mussel). The record is from RNAcentral. Lineage: Eukaryota; Metazoa; Mollusca; Bivalvia; Mytilida; Mytilidae.